AUUGAACGCUGGCGGCAGGCCUAACACAUGCAAGUCGAACGGCAGCACAGAAGAGCUUGCUCUUUGGGUGGCGAGUGGCGGACGGGUGAGUAACACGUAGGAAUCUACCCAGUAGUGGGUGAUAACCUGGGGAAACCCAGGCUAAUACCGCAUACGCCCUGAGGGGGAAAGCGGGGGAUCUUCGGACCUCGCGCUAUUGGAUGAGCCUGCGUCGGAUUAGCUAGUUGGUGGGGUAAGGGCCCACCAAGGCGACGAUCCGUAGCUGGUCUGAGAGGAUGACCAGUCACACCGGAACUGAGACACGGUCCGGACUCCUACGGGAGGCAGCAGUGGGGAAUAUUGGACAAUGGGCGCAAGCCUGAUCCAGCCAUGCCGCGUGGGUGAAGAAGGCCUCGGUUGUAAGCCUUGGUGGGUAGGAGGCGAUCAUGCUAAUACCAUGGAUGAUUGACGUUACCCUACACGAAUAAGACACCGG
This 475-nucleotide ribosomal RNA is filed under the name uncultured bacterium. RNAcentral describes it as "bacterial SSU rRNA". It matches the Rfam family "Bacterial small subunit ribosomal RNA", at positions 29 to 497 of the family's 1533-position model. The record is from RNAcentral.